This 468-nucleotide ribosomal RNA is filed under the name uncultured bacterium. RNAcentral's name for it is "partial 16S ribosomal RNA". It matches the Rfam family "Bacterial small subunit ribosomal RNA", at positions 28 to 507 of the family's 1533-position model. The record is from RNAcentral.
GACGAACGCUGGCGGCGUGCUUAACACAUGCAAGUCGAGCGGAAAGGCCCUGCUUUUGUGGGGUGCUCGAGUGGCGAACGGGUGAGUAACACGUGAGUAACCUGCCCUUGACUUUGGGAUAACUUCAGGAAACUGGGGCUAAUAACGGAUAGGAGCUCCUGCUGCAUGGUGGGGGUUGGAAAGUUUCGGCGGUUGGGGAUGGACUCGCGGCUUAUCAGCUUGUUGGUGGGGUAGUGGCUUACCAAGGCCUUGACGGGUAGCCGGCCUGAGAGGGUGACCGGCCACAUUGGGACUGAGAUACGGCCCAGACUCCUACGGGAGGCAGCAGUGGGGAAUAUUGCACAAUGGGCGGAAGCCUGAUGCAGCAACGCCGCGUGCGGGAUGACGGCCUUCGGGUUGUAAACCGCUUUCGCCUGUGACGAAGCGUGAGUGACGGUAAUGGGUAAAGAAGCACCGGCUAACUACGUG